GAUGAACGCUGGCGGCGUGCCUAACACAUGCAAGUCGAACGAAGCACCUUACCUGAUUCUUCGGAUGAAAGUCUGGUGACUGAGUGGCGGACGGGUGAGCAACGCGUGGGUAACCUGCCCUGUACAGGGGGAUAACAGCUGGAAACGGCUGCUAAUACCGCAUAAGCGCACGAGGAGACAUCUCCUUGUGUGAAAAACUCCGGUGGUACAGGAUGGGCCCGCGUCUGAUUAGCUGGUUGGCAGGGUAACGGCCUACCAAGGCAACGAUCAGUAGCCGGUCUGAGAGGAUGAACGGCCACAUUGGAACUGAGACGCGGUCCAAACUCCUACGGGAGGCAGCAGUGGGGAAUAUUGCACAAUGGGGGAAACCCUGAUGCAGCAACGCCGCGUGAGUGAAGAAGUAUUUCGGUAUGUAAAGCUCUAUCAGCAGGGAAGAUAAUGACGGUAUCUGACUAAGAAGCUCCGGCUAAAUACGUGCCAGCCGCCGCAGUAA
This 493-nucleotide ribosomal RNA is filed under the name uncultured bacterium. Its description in RNAcentral is "partial 16S ribosomal RNA". It matches the Rfam family "Bacterial small subunit ribosomal RNA", at positions 28 to 523 of the family's 1533-position model. The record is from RNAcentral.